Long non-coding RNA from Dermochelys coriacea (leatherback sea turtle), 1575 nucleotides. RefSeq lists it as uncharacterized. NCBI's taxonomy places the organism in Eukaryota, Metazoa, Chordata, Testudines, Dermochelyidae. The record is from RefSeq and is a predicted model, not a curated record. The transcript has 3 exons.
UAAGAUGAUUUACCAGUUGGAGGCCAGAAGGAGAGGCAAUGUCGUGAGACUGUAUGAACCCAUCAGUGCUCUACAGACCACUGUUUGAGAACUGCUAAAAUAGGAAGUGUGAAGAUGUUAAGAGUUUAUGCUACAAGUAUUUUCCUGGAGUUGAACAUUAAUGACUCCAACUGAUUGGAUUUAAAGCCUAUUCUUGGUAACAGCUGACUUCAUUCCAACUUGUCCUUAACUGGGGGAUCCUAGAGAGCUGCCCCCUCAACACCUGCUGAAAGACUGACCUUGAUCAGGAGAAGAAAGACAUGUUUUCAGAACUUCUCCAGUUCUCAGAGACUGCUGACCUGGAGAAUAGGGCUUGGAGGGACCUCAUGCUGGAGAGAAGGCUGAGUGACCAGGAUUGGAAGGACCACAUGCUUGAGGAAUGGCAGAAGGACUUAGAAGUGCACUGAGAUGUGCAUGAUGACAUUAUGUAGCUCCUCAAGCAAUACAAACAGAUUUUGCACAGUAUUAUGGAGCAAAGUGCCCCAAACCUCUUCCCAGCAGCCAUUGCGCUCCAUCGACCAUUCAGUGUUCACAGGAAUGUACAGCACCCCUUUUCCCCAGCAAGGUGUAAGAAUAGACUUCUGUCUUAUCCUUACCAUCCCACGCCAGUGAAAAACAAGGAGAACGGUUAUGACUAAAUAUUCACUGACUUGUGAUUUAUGCAAGAUCAAUCAGCAAGUACAUUGCUCUUUGUUUUUUUUUAAAUAAGUAUAGGGACGGUUUAAUAAAUGCUGAUAAGUCUCAGCUUGUGGGUAAUUAGUUUGUUUUUCAUUACCACUCAAUACAAUUUUGUUUUCAAAAAAAUCAAGAUCUAUUUACUGGGUCUAACAAAAGAGAAAUGUAGCAGCCCAAAUCAUCACUCCUCCCACCAAAUUCAUAAAAGGAGCUAAAAUCCAUAUUCAAGUCAAGUUCCCAAAGAAGUACACAAAAGCAAGAUACUGCACUAUUAUGGCACAGUGUUAAAAUAGUCCUUUUAAGCCUUUCUUCGCUCCUUGAUGAGCUCCUGAGAUUGCCUUUGUGUCUGGCUGUUCGAAAGUAGCAGACAGUCUGACCACUUCACCCCUUCACUCUGCCAGGAACAUUUUCCCUUUUGCUUCACAAAUAUUAUGAAAACAAGUAGCAACGGGAAUAUUUACCUUGCUGAGAUCUAUCCUAGUGCUGAAGCAUUGCCAGUAUCCUUUCAAUUACCAAAUGCAUACAAUAGUCAUUCUGCGCCUACUCAGGCUGUAGUUAAAUCUUUCCUUGCUGGUGUCUACUAUACGGUUUCAUGAACCAGGAAAACAAAGGAAAGGCUGAGACCCCCCAGAAUCUUUACUGGCAUUUUAAUGCCAUCAAUGUGAAUGUGCCAGUCUAGGAAAAGUGUUCUAUUGUCUCUUUUGGACAAGUCCAAUAUUCCUUAGAAGUGACCAUCACAUACUUCUGACCAGCCAAUGUUAAUUUCAAUGAAACGUUCCUGGUGAUCCAUAAGUACAUGCCUAACUAUGGAGAAGUCAAGGGAUGCUGGAACAAUUUAGGCUCUCCCACCACAUAAAUGUU